UACGUAGGAUGCAAGCGUUGUCCGGAAUUAUUGGGCGUAAAGCGAACGUAGGCGGCUUCUUAAGUUUGGUCUUAAAGACCGGGGCUCAACCCCGGGAAUGGACUGAAUACUGGGAGGCUGGAGGAUGUCAGAGGAAAGUGGAAUUCCCAGUGUAGCGGUGAAAUGCGUAGAUAUUGGGAGGAACACCAGUGGCGAAAGCGACUUUCUGGGGCAUUCCUGACGCUGAGGUUCGAAAGCUCGGGGAGCAAACAGG
Molecule: ribosomal RNA, 253 nt
Filed under: uncultured bacterium
Lineage: Bacteria
Also listed under: 1 other name
Description: partial 16S ribosomal RNA
Rfam family: Bacterial small subunit ribosomal RNA
Source: RNAcentral